AGUAGGUCCCAAGGGUUGGGCUGUUCGCCCAUUAAAGCGGUACGCGAGCUGGGUUCAGAACGUCGUGAGACAGUUCGGUCCCUAUCCGGCGUGGGCGUAGGAUAUUUGAGAGGAGCUGUCCUUAGUACGAGAGGACCGGGAUGGACGGGCCGCUGGUGUACCUGUUGCAGUGCCAACUGCAUGGCAGGGUAGCCAAGCCUGGAAGGGAUAAACGCUGAAGGCAUCUAAGCGUGAAGCCCCCCUCAAGAUGAGAUAUCCCAUUCUAUAAAGAAGUAAGACCCCUUGAAGACGACGAGGUGGAUAGGGCAGAGGUGGAAGUGCAGCAAUGUAUGGAGCUGACUGCUACUAAUCGGUCGAGGGCUUGACCUA
RNAcentral lists this ribosomal RNA (369 nucleotides) under Blautia sp. RNAcentral describes it as "partial 23S ribosomal RNA". It matches the Rfam family "Bacterial large subunit ribosomal RNA", at positions 2557 to 2925 of the family's 2925-position model. Lineage: Bacteria; Bacillati; Bacillota; Clostridia; Lachnospirales; Lachnospiraceae. The record is from RNAcentral.